Molecule: long non-coding RNA, 976 nt
Organism: Chenopodium quinoa (quinoa)
Lineage: Eukaryota; Viridiplantae; Streptophyta; Magnoliopsida; Caryophyllales; Amaranthaceae
Exons: 3
Source: RefSeq, a predicted model, not a curated record
CUGUUUUCUAGCAAAUGUCUGUAAUUUGAUUGAAUAUUUACUAUGGCUUAUCACUUGAUUGUGAAAUUCUAGUAUUUGAUGAUGAUAAUAACGAUGAUGUUAGGAACAAAGUUCAGUCUUUUCUUGAAAAGUUUGCCUCUCACUUCAAUUCAUCAUCCUCUUGUUUCUUUUUCUCCUUUACCCAUCUUUUCUUUCUCAACCCAACAUCAAUUUUGUUCAUCAGAACGAAGAAAGCUAAGAUUGCAGGUGAGAAAUUGUGUUCCUGCCCUGCUCCUGCUCUUCCUCUUCGCUUCAUCUUCACCAAAUCACCAGACGGCCAGAUCAGCAGACCUCCGCCACUGCUUCCAGUGCUGGUCACCUCCUCCUGCUCUUCCUCUUCUUCAUCUUCGCUCACUGCUGCUGCUGCACACAGGCGGCUCGCCGGCUCCACUGCCUCCACACAUUGAUGGUGUUGUUGCUCUUGAUUGGUAUUUGGGUUGUCGGUGAUCAUCGAAAGCUUCCUCCUCUCUCUCCUAUUCUCAUUUUGCUACUAAGGAAAUGAUAACUUGCGGAGAAGUAGAUUCUAAAGGUCACUUGGAAUUGAGGGAGGAUCCAGAGGCAUGGAUUAAAAAUAACCCUCCUUCUCGUCUAGCCUUGCGUUGUUAUGAAAAGGAAGAGGUAGGAGAAUCAAUAGGUGAGCUCACACAGCUCAUCCGCCUGGAAUUCUUGUACUGUGAUUCCCUGAAAUGUGUGUCUAACACCAUCACUAGGCUUCACAAAUUGGAGCACUUGCAAUUUUAUAAGUGUUAUUGUUUGGAAGAAUUGCCGGCAAAUAUAGGGCAGUUGGUGAGCCUUACUCAUCUCAAGCUUGAUUAUUGCGAGAACAUAAAGUUCCUUCCUGAUAGCAUUGUAAAUCUAUCCAAUUUGACUUAUUUAACUCUCUCUUCCUGUGAUUCCCUUGUUGAAUUGCCGGCAAAUAUAGGGCAGUUGGUGAGCC